UACGAAGGGGGCUAGCGUUGCUCGGAAUCACUGGGCGUAAAGGGUGCGUAGCCGGGUCUUUAAGUCAGGGGUGAAAUCCUGGAGCUCAACUCCAGAACUGCCCUUGAUACUGGCGGUCUCGAGUCCGGGAGAGGUGAGUGGAACUGCGAGUGUAGAGGUGAAAUUCGUAGAUAUUCGCAAGAACACCAGUGGCGAAGGCGGCUCACUGGCCCGGUACUGACGCUGAGGUGCGAAAGCGUGGGGAGCAAACAGG
RNAcentral lists this ribosomal RNA (253 nucleotides) under uncultured bacterium. RNAcentral's name for it is "partial 16S ribosomal RNA". It matches the Rfam family "Bacterial small subunit ribosomal RNA", at positions 524 to 776 of the family's 1533-position model. The record is from RNAcentral.